This 942-nucleotide ribosomal RNA is filed under the name Klebsiella pneumoniae. Its description in RNAcentral is "bacterial SSU rRNA". It matches the Rfam family "Bacterial small subunit ribosomal RNA", at positions 578 to 1520 of the family's 1533-position model. Lineage: Bacteria; Pseudomonadati; Pseudomonadota; Gammaproteobacteria; Enterobacterales; Enterobacteriaceae. The record is from RNAcentral.
GUCUGUCAAGUCGGAUGUGAAAUCCCCGGGCUUAACCUGGGAACUGCAUUCGAAACUGGCAGGCUAGAGUCUUGUAGAGGGGGGUAGAAUUCCAGGUGUAGCGGUGAAAUGCGUAGAGAUCUGGAGGAAUACCGGUGGCGAAGGCGGCCCCCUGGACAAAGACUGACGCUCAGGUGCGAAAGCGUGGGGAGCAAACAGGAUUAGAUACCCUGGUAGUCCACGCCGUAAACGAUGUCGAUUUGGAGGUUGUGCCCUUGAGGCGUGGCUUCCGGAGCUAACGCGUUAAAUCGACCGCCUGGGGAGUACGGCCGCAAGGUUAAAACUCAAAUGAAUUGACGGGGGCCCGCACAAGCGGUGGAGCAUGUGGUUUAAUUCGAUGCAACGCGAAGAACCUUACCUGGUCUUGACAUCCACAGAACUUUCCAGAGAUGGAUUGGUGCCUUCGGGAACUGUGAGACAGGUGCUGCAUGGCUGUCGUCAGCUCGUGUUGUGAAAUGUUGGGUUAAGUCCCGCAACGAGCGCAACCCUUAUCCUUUGUUGCCAGCGGUCCGGCCGGGAACUCAAAGGAGACUGCCAGUGAUAAACUGGAGGAAGGUGGGGAUGACGUCAAGUCAUCAUGGCCCUUACGACCAGGGCUACACACGUGCUACAAUGGCAUAUACAAAGAGAAGCGACCUCGCGAGAGCAAGCGGACCUCAUAAAGUAUGUCGUAGUCCGGAUUGGAGUCUGCAACUCGACUCCAUGAAGUCGGAAUCGCUAGUAAUCGUAGAUCAGAAUGCUACGGUGAAUACGUUCCCGGGCCUUGUACACACCGCCCGUCACACCAUGGGAGUGGGUUGCAAAAGAAGUAGGUAGCUUAACCUUCGGGAGGGCGCUUACCACUUUGUGAUUCAUGACUGGGGUGAAGUCGUAACAAGGUAACCGUAGGGGAACCUGCGGUUG